This 162-nucleotide non-coding RNA is filed under the name bovine gut metagenome. Its description in RNAcentral is "Lysine riboswitch". It matches the Rfam family "Lysine riboswitch aptamer". Rfam says of the family: Riboswitches are metabolite binding domains within certain messenger RNAs that serve as precision sensors for their corresponding targets. Allosteric rearrangement of mRNA structure is mediated by ligand binding, and this results in modulation of gene expression. The record is from RNAcentral.
UGGUAGAGGUGCGGCAAAAAUCAGUAUCGAUUAAAAACUCCGGGAAGAGCAGUCGGGAAAGGGUUUGCCGCCGAAGUCCAGAAAGAAUUCCCGUUCUUGUUGGGCUGGGCCGCAGCAAAAGAUGCUGCGGACUGUCACAUUUUUUUGUGGAGCGCUAUCGUG